AAAUAAAUUUAUAAGUAAUAUAAAAUAUGCUGUAUAAAUUAAUAAUAUAGUAUUGAGAUAUUAUUGUAUGAACAAUAUAUAAUAACAUUUACUUCAUACUUUAAGGUUUGCAAAACAUUUUAUAUGUAAUAUCUCAUUUGAUUCUCUUAACAGCCCUGGAAAGUAGUUAUUAUUAUCCCGAUUUCAUAAGAGAAAACUGAAGUUGGAAAGAUUCAGAGAUUUGCUCAGGUUUAUUGAUAAGAAUCAGAGUCAAGAUGUGAACUGAGAGACUCCCUCAUUCCAGCACUCUAUCUACUGUGCCUUUUUGAUCCUCAUUCCAUAAGUUAGAAGAGCAGACAUUAUUUUCCAUUUAACAGAUGAGAAAACCAGAGGGUCAUGGACAUGAUUUAGCCUCCUCAAGGGCAUUUAUCUAGUAAGCAGUAGAUUUGUGAUGUAAAGCAGGGUCUUUUGUUUGUGGGCCCAAUACUAUGCCAUGCCAUUUCUCAAAUAAAGAAUAGUUCAAUCCAGGAAAGUAUAACACCCUCCCACCCCAUUUCUACAGCCUGUCCUUCCCUCUACAAAGUAAAGUGAUUGAUUGUUGCUUUUACCUCAUUCUUAGUCUGAGUCAAUUUAGUUAGUCCCUCCAAAAUUGUUUAUUUUGACCCACCACACUAUAUUUGUAGUUAAUAUUUUCAUUGGCCUAGGGAUUGAGGUCAUGUGUCAUUGUACAUAGAGCAAAUAGGAGAGAAAUUGAUGGGUCUAGUUCAGAAUGAGAGACUAUCACAGAUGUUUGAUGUCAGGGCAUUUAACUGAAAGAUAGAUGACAGCUAUUUGCAGGACACCAGAUGAAGUUCACCUGAAGCUGUUGCUCCAGAAAGAAAAAAAGACCAAAUCUGAAAUCUUUUCCAAGACCACAUUGAGAAGCCAGUUUGAGAUCCAGAAUCACACAGAGAUGAGGCAGAAUAUGUAAUGUAUGUUGUCUUACUCAUAUUUCAAGGUAAAAAAAAUGUUUCCAGAAAACUGUGUCAAAAUGUCUCUUUUAACUAUUACCUAAAUCCCUUUCAGGCAAAGUUAUUCUCUUUGAGAAAGAUAUUCAUCUGGCUGAUUGCAGUUUUAACCAAGGAGUCAACUCCUGAGGAAAUCAACAACAAACAAAAUAAACCAAAUCCAGUUUUGUAUCAUUUGCUAGCUUCCAAGGUAUAAAUGCUCACUCCAAGAACUUAACAACUGGUCCUUUUGAGCUGGUAUUAGCUUGCUCUAGCAUACCCUGGAUGCUAAUCAAUUAAUAAUACACUUUGGAAAGACACUGUGAGUGAUCUGGAUCUGGAAUUGAACAAGAGGAGUGUGAGUUGAAUUACCUUCAGGGAAAUACUCAAUGAUUCUCCUUGAAACAAAGGCCCAUCAUUUAAACAAUAUAUAUUCAUUCAAUGAGUCUGAAUGGUAUUCAGUUAUAGAAGACAACAAUUUCUAGAGGAUUAAAGUUCAAGGUCACCUAAAGUGUAAUGGAAAGGUUUAGAGUGAGUAACAAUACAACAUAUGGGCAGUCCAUGAAAAAAUAAUGUCAAUUAUUAAAUGCAAAUCAGGAUGACUAUCCUUAAGUUCAAACACAUUUUACUCUUUCUUGAUCUUAUAGAAUUUCUCUUCCAAAUGCCCCAGUAAUUCUUCAGGUCUUUCCCCCAACCCAAUUCCUGUCAGUCACUGAGUGAACUCAAACAGUAGUCAGUUUGGAGUCCUUUCUAUAUUGAUAUGUUGCAUGUUAUUUGUGUUUCGAAUUUAGUUUUAUAGGUCCUCAACCAUCAUCUUGAAC
Molecule: long non-coding RNA, 1786 nt
Organism: Monodelphis domestica (gray short-tailed opossum)
Lineage: Eukaryota; Metazoa; Chordata; Mammalia; Didelphimorphia; Didelphidae
Source: Ensembl